CGGAAAUAAUCGAGGAUAAGAAGCCGGAGUUCAUGGCCCCUCCGCCUGCUCCUUCAUCGGCGACGGGAACUGCAAAUGAUUACCUGUACUUUGAUGCGUCCGAUUCAGCACCGAAGUUGCACACGGACUCAAGCUGCUCGGAGCACGUAGUGUCGCCGGAGUUCACGUCCGAGGUACAGAGUGAGCCUAAGUGGAAAGACUGGGGGGACGCAAAUGCCCUGGAUUUCUCAUACAAUUACAUGGAUGCCACCAUGGAAAAAGAGUUCGGGUCACUGUAUCCGGGAAAUAAUCAGAUGUCACCGCUUCAGGAUAUAUUCAUGCACCUAGCGAAGCCGUUUUGAGUCGAAAUGCAGAUCGAGUGGAGCAUUGAAGUCUGAUGAGCAAUCGCACAG
This 392-nucleotide unclassified non-coding RNA is filed under the name Hevea brasiliensis (rubber tree). Lineage: Eukaryota; Viridiplantae; Streptophyta; Magnoliopsida; Malpighiales; Euphorbiaceae. The record is from RNAcentral.